GUUAAGCGACUAAGCGUACACGGUGGAUGCCCUGGCAGUCAGAGGCGAUGAAGGACGUGCUAAUCUGCGAUAAGCGUCGGUGAGGUGAUAUGAACCGUUAUAACCGGCGAUUUCCGAAUGGGGAAACCCAGUGUGUUUCGACACACUAUCAUUAACUGAAUCCAUAGGUUAAUGAGGCGAACCGGGGGAACUGAAACAUCUAAGUACCCCGAGGAAAAGAAAUCAACCGAGAUUCCCCCAGUAGCGGCGAGCGAACGGGGAGGAGCCCAGAGCCUGAAUCAGUGUGUGUGUUAGUGGAAGCGUCUGGAAAGGCGUGCGAUACAGGGUGACAGCCCCGUACACAAAAAUGCACAUAUUGUGAGCUCGAUGAGUAGGGCGGGACACGUGGUAUCCUGUCUGAAUAUGGGGGGACCAUCCUCCAAGGCUAAAUACUCCUGACUGACCGAUAGUGAACCAGUACCGUGAGGGAAAGGCGAAAAGAACCCCGGCGAGGGGAGUGAAAAAGAACCUGAAACCGUGUACGUACAAGCAGUGGGAGCCUCUUAAUGGGGUGACUGCGUACCUUUUGUAUAAUGGGUCAGCGACUUAUAUUCUGUAGCAAGGUUAACCGAAUAGGGGAGCCGAAGGGAAACCGAGUCUUAACUGGGCGUUAAGUUGCAGGGUAUAGACCCGAAACCCGGUGAUCUAGCCAUGGGCAGGUUGAAGGUUGGGUAACACUAACUGGAGGACCGAACCGACUAAUGUUGAAAAAUUAGCGGAUGACUUGUGGCUGGGGGUGAAAGGCCAAUCAAACCGGGAGAUAGCUGGUUCUCCCCGAAAGCUAUUUAGGUAGCGCCUCGUGAAUUCAUCUCCGGGGGUAGAGCACUGUUUCGGCAAGGGGGUCAUCCCGACUUACCAACCCGAUGCAAACUGCGAAUACCGGAGAAUGUUAUCACGGGAGACACACGGCGGGUGCUAACGUCCGUCGUGAAGAGGGAAACAACCCAGACCGCCAGCUAAGGUCCCAAAGUCAUGGUUAAGUGGGAAACGAUGUGGGAAGGCCCAGACAGCCAGGAUGUUGGCUUAGAAGCAGCCAUCAUUUAAAGAAAGCGUAAUAGCUCACUGGUCGAGUCGGCCUGCGCGGAAGAUGUAACGGGGCUAAACCAUGCACCGAAGCUGCGGCAGCGACACUAUGUGUUGUUGGGUAGGGGAGCGUUCUGUAAGCCUGUGAAGGUGGCCUGUGAGGGUUGCUGGAGGUAUCAGAAGUGCGAAUGCUGACAUAAGUAACGAUAAAGCGGGUGAAAAGCCCGCUCGCCGGAAGACCAAGGGUUCCUGUCCAACGUUAAUCGGGGCAGGGUGAGUCGACCCCUAAGGCGAGGCCGAAAGGCGUAGUCGAUGGGAAACAGGUUAAUAUUCCUGUACUUGGUGUUACUGCGAAGGGGGGACGGAGAAGGCUAUGUUGGCCGGGCGACGGUUGUCCCGGUUUAAGCGUGUAGGCUGGUUUUCCAGGCAAAUCCGGAAAACCAAGGCUGAGGCGUGAUGACGAGGCACUACGGUGCUGAAGCGACAAAUGCCCUGCUUCCAGGAAAAGCCUCUAAGCAUCAGGUAACAUCAAAUCGUACCCCAAACCGACACAGGUGGUCAGGUAGAGAAUACCAAGGCGCUUGAGAGAACUCGGGUGAAGGAACUAGGCAAAAUGGUGCCGUAACUUCGGGAGAAGGCACGCUGAUAUGUAGGU
This 1717-nucleotide ribosomal RNA is filed under the name Escherichia coli. RNAcentral's name for it is "partial 23S ribosomal RNA". It matches the Rfam family "Bacterial large subunit ribosomal RNA", at positions 1 to 1763 of the family's 2925-position model. Lineage: Bacteria; Pseudomonadati; Pseudomonadota; Gammaproteobacteria; Enterobacterales; Enterobacteriaceae. The record is from RNAcentral.